CAUGGAGGGUGAGAAUCCCGUUCGGUUAACCAAAGCGCUUUACGAUACGCUUUCAAAGAGUCAAGUUGUUUGGGAUUGCAGCUUAAAAUGGGAGGUAAAUUUCUCCUAAGGCUAAAUAUUGGCGAGAGACCGAUAGCGAACAAGUACCGUGAGGGAAAGAUGAAAAGAACUUUGAAAAGAGAGUUAAACAGUACGUGAAAUUGUUGAAAGGGAAACGAUUAAAGUCAGUCGUACCUACGAGUAAUCAACCUACUCGAGUGCGAUUUUGUGGGUAUGUUAGAGCUUAAAAACCUUCAUGCUUACAAAUUGGUGCUCUUUGGGCGUACUUUCUCGUAUGGUAGGUUAACAUCAAUUUCGAUCGUUAUAAAAUGACUGGAGGAAUGUAGCUUCGAUCUCGGUUGAAGUGUUAUAGCCUUUGGUAGAUGUAAUGAUUGGGAUUGAGGAUUGCAACGGAUACCCUCUGGGCUAUUCGUCUGAUCUCUGGAAGUUACCUUGGUGUCGAAAGCGUGCUUACGAUAUUAAGGUUGACGGCCAAUAGGUUAGAACGUGAUUAAAUUCGUUAAGGAUGUUGACGUAAUGG
RNAcentral lists this ribosomal RNA (580 nucleotides) under uncultured Glomeromycotina. RNAcentral's name for it is "LSU rRNA". It matches the Rfam family "Eukaryotic large subunit ribosomal RNA", at positions 204 to 637 of the family's 3401-position model. The record is from RNAcentral. Lineage: Eukaryota; Fungi; Glomeromycota.